UGUAGCUCAGUGGUAGAGUGCAUGCUUAGCAUGCACAAGGUCCUGGGUUCAAUCCCCAGUA
RNAcentral lists this transfer RNA (61 nucleotides) under Camelus bactrianus (Bactrian camel). It matches the Rfam family "tRNA", at positions 6 to 65 of the family's 71-position model. Rfam says of the family: Transfer RNA (tRNA) molecules are approximately 80 nucleotides in length. Their secondary structure includes four short double-helical elements and three loops (D, anti-codon, and T loops). Lineage: Eukaryota; Metazoa; Chordata; Mammalia; Artiodactyla; Camelidae. RNAcentral also lists the same sequence under 2 other names. The record is from Rfam by way of RNAcentral.